ACUAGAUCCGAGUCCCAGGCUAUAGCGCAUUCACACGAUCGGGAAGUGCUGAAGAAGGAAGUAAUAGUUUCACAGCAGAGAAAACUGAGUGAGCCUGAUUCAGAGAGACCUCCCUUGGAGAAGCCACAUGUCAUAUCUCAUCCUAGAAGCCCUUCAAAAGGUGCAGCAUCUGCCAUUCAGUCAAAAUCAGAGUUGAAGGACUUGGCCACAAGUGAUUCAAACUCUGUUAAAAGAUCGUCUUUGGACAGUUCUAAGUUGACUUAUAAACCAACUACUUUGGCUAAUUUAGCCGAAACUGCUGUGUUGUUGAAGGCUGAUCCUGAUAAAGGUAUAGAACGACAAGUGGCGGAGAAGCCCUCAGUGCAUUCAGUAUCCAUUACACCUCAGAACUUCCAAUCUCAUCAAGUGACUGCCUCUGCGACUACGGAGAAGUCCAAAUCACAAGUUCCUGCCCUGUCCAGAUCCUUGAAUGGUCCUGUAGUACAUGGGCCUAGGCCUGCUGCCUCUGUUGUUCCCAUGGUUCCAACAUCACCAUUAUUGGCCUGUUCAGUGAGUGCAGCAGGUCA
Molecule: unclassified non-coding RNA, 566 nt
Filed under: Hevea brasiliensis (rubber tree)
Lineage: Eukaryota; Viridiplantae; Streptophyta; Magnoliopsida; Malpighiales; Euphorbiaceae
Source: RNAcentral